UACGAAGGGGGCUAGCGUUGUUCGGAAUCACUGGGCGUAAAGCGCACGUAGGCGGACUUUUAAGUCAGGGGUGAAAUCCCGGGGCUCAACCUCGGAACUGCCUUCAAUACUGCCAGUCUUGAGUUCGGAAGAGGUGAGUGGAAUUCCUAGUGUAGAGGUGAAAUUCAUAGAUAUUAGGAAGAACACCAGUGGCGAAGGCGGCUCACUGGUCCGAUACUGACGCUGAGGUGCGAAAGCGUGGGGAGCGAACAGGAUUAGAUACCCGGUAGUC
RNAcentral lists this ribosomal RNA (271 nucleotides) under uncultured bacterium. Its description in RNAcentral is "partial 16S ribosomal RNA". It matches the Rfam family "Bacterial small subunit ribosomal RNA", at positions 524 to 795 of the family's 1533-position model. The record is from RNAcentral.